CCGAUAGUGAACCAGUACCGUGAGGGAAAGGCGAAAAGAACCCCGGCGAGGGGAGUGAAAAAGAACCUGAAACCGUGUACGUACAAGCAGUGGGAGCACGCUUAGGCGUGUGACUGCGUACCUUUUGUAUAAUGGGUCAGCGACUUAUAUUCUGUAGCAAGGUUAACCGAAUAGGGGAGCCGAAGGGAAACCGAGUCUUAACUGGGCGUUAAGUUGCAGGGUAUAGACCCGAAACCCGGUGAUCUAGCCAUGGGCAGGUUGAAGGUUGGGUAACACUAACUGGAGGACCGAACCGACUAAUGUUGAAAAAUUAGCGGAUGACUUGUGGCUGGGGGUGAAAGGCCAAUCAAACCGGGAGAUAGCUGGUUCUCCCCGAAAGCUAUUUAGGUAGCGCCUCGUGAAUUCAUCUCCGGGGGUAGAGCACUGUUUCGGCAAGGGGGUCAUCCCGACUUACCAACCCGAUGCAAACUGCGAAUACCGGAGAAUGUUAUCACGGGAGACACACGGCGGGUGCUAACGUCCGUCGUGAAGAGGGAAACAACCCAGACCGCCAGCUAAGGUCCCAAAGUCAUGGUUAAGUGGGAAACGAUGUGGGAAGGCCCAGACAGCCAGGAUGUUGGCUUAGAAGCAGCCAUCAUUUAAAGAAAGCGUAAUAGCUCACUGGUCGAGUCGGCCUGCGCGGAAGAUGUAACGGGGCUAAACCAUGCACCGAAGCUGCGGCAGCGACGCUUAUGCGUUGUUGGGUAGGGGAGCGUUCUGUAAGCCUGUGAAGGUGUGCUGUGAGGCAUGCUGGAGGUAUCAGAAGUGCGAAUGCUGACAUAAGUAACGAUAAAGCGGGUGAAAAGCCCGCUCGCCGGAAGACCAAGGGUUCCUGUCCAACGUUAAUCGGGGCAGGGUGAGUCGACCCCUAAGGCGAGGCCGAAAGGCGUAGUCGAUGGGAAACAGGUUAAUAUUCCUGUACUUGGUGUUACUGCGAAGGGGGGACGGAGAAGGCUAUGUUGGCCGGGCGACGGUUGUCCCGGUUUAAGCGUGUAGGCUGGUUUUCCAGGCAAAUCCGGAAAAUCAAGGCUGAGGCGUGAUGACGAGGCACUACGGUGCUGAAGCAACAAAUGCCCUGCUUCCAGGAAAAGCCUCUAAGCAUCAGGUAACAUCAAAUCGUACCCCAAACCGACACAGGUGGUCAGGUAGAGAAUACCAAGGCGCUUGAGAGAACUCGGGUGAAGGAACUAGGCAAAAUGGUGCCGUAACUUCGGGAGAAGGCACGCUGAUAUGUAGGUGAAGUCCCUCGCGGAUGGAGCUGAAAUCAGUCGAAGAUACCAGCUGGCUGCAACUGUUUAUUAAAAACACAGCACUGUGCAAACACGAAAGUGGACGUAUACGGUGUGACGCCUGCCCGGUGCCGGAAGGUUAAUUGAUGGGGU
Molecule: ribosomal RNA, 1421 nt
Filed under: Escherichia coli
Lineage: Bacteria; Pseudomonadati; Pseudomonadota; Gammaproteobacteria; Enterobacterales; Enterobacteriaceae
Description: partial 23S ribosomal RNA
Rfam family: Bacterial large subunit ribosomal RNA
Source: RNAcentral